Long non-coding RNA from Scylla paramamosain (green mud crab), 4237 nucleotides. RefSeq lists it as uncharacterized. The transcript is spliced from 2 exons. The record is from RefSeq and is a predicted model, not a curated record. Lineage: Eukaryota; Metazoa; Arthropoda; Malacostraca; Decapoda; Portunidae.
GGCUGUGGCAAAGGUGGAUCUGUUAAUAAGAUAAGUAAAAGAAUGAUAUUAAGUUUGAAGUAAAAGAAUGAUAUUAGGUUUGGCUUCAUGUGGCUUGUUUAGUUAAGGUAUGUGUGGGUCUGUUGGGGUGCGUCAAGGGGAGGUGUGUCUGGGUUAAGAUGAGUGAACUGUGGCCUCCCAGAUGUUUUUCAAGAUUAAAGAUGUGUUUUUUUUUUAGUGUUCUAAGUUUAUUUUGCUAAGUUACGUCUUAUUUUGUGGAUCUUAGGCUUAGUUUGGGUUAAGUUAGAGAUGUGUGUUUCUAAGGUAUUCAAAGUUCAUUUUUUGUAAAGUUAUUUUGGCUUAGUUUAGUUUGGAUUAAGUUGGAGAUGUGUGUUUCUAGGGGUAUUCAAAGUUCAUUUCGUAAAGUUGCGUCUCGUUUUGUUGGUCUUGUGGGGUUAAUUUAGUUUAAAGUAAAGUCCACAUUUCUAAAACAUUUGUAAGUGAAGCCAAACUGUCAAUUCUGGUCUUGUUCUGUCAGUCUAAGGAAGCUGGAUGAGAUAGGAUGAAGCCAAAUUGUUAGUGAAUACAUUUUAACCCACUGUACCCCUGGACCACAGAGAACCACACAUUUGUACGCCACUCAGCCAGACCAACUUGUUGCCGGCAGCCCACCCUUGAUUUUCAUGUGUUAUGUGUUUCUUUCCGUGUGUCUGUCCCUGGUGGUGGUGGUGGUGGUGGUUCUGCUCAUGGUUCUGUCCUGUGUGCAAACUUUCACUCUGAACUGGAGACAGAAUUUGAAGUCAUUUUACCACAGUGGAAGGCAGAACAAGGCUAAUACAGUGAAAGAAAGAAACAUCUCGAAAAGUUCCCAUCAACUCUAGUGACACAAACUCUGCCACUCUUUCACUCUGAACUGGAGACAGAAUUUGAAGUCAUUUUACCACAGUGGAAGGCAAAACAAGGCUAAUACAGUGAAAGAGAAAGAAAGAAACAUCUCGAAAAGUUCCCAUCAACUCUAGCGACACAAACGCUGCCACUCUUUCACUCUAAGCUUGAGUUGACAGAAUCUAAAGUUUUGCCCCAGUGGAAGAUGAAAUAAGACUAACACAGUGAAAGAAGUUAGAAACAUCCUCUCCAAUGACACAGCCUGGCACCACCUUUCACUUCUCUACCCACAAGCCCCUACCACUCUCACUCUAAGCUGGAGACAAAAUCUGAAGUCAUCCUACCACAGUGGAAGACAAAACGAGGGUGAUACAGUGAAAGAAGAUAGAAACGUCCUCUCCAAUGACACAACCUGGCACCAUCAUUCACUUCUCUACCCACAAACCCUGGCACUCUUUCACCCUAAGCUGGAGUUGGCACCUUCCCGUCCUGUGUUGUACCACCACCAACACCCCACCAGCCUCCUCAGUGCAUUGUUUACACUUGUGUCCAAUACUUGGUGACAAAUUAGCGUUAUUCUCGUCGUUAUAGCAAACCAGCGAAAAACUAUCCAUUAUUUAUCAUUGUAACUGCAUCUUACUUCAUGUUUUCCCUUGAAUGCUGAGGUUAUAUGUUUGUUAGAGUAUAAAACAGACCAAAUAGACACAAAGCAAGCCAGGAACAUAACAAGUAGUAGUAGUAGCAAAUAUUUGAAAAAAGACCCAAACUAGGAAAAGACAGGAAAACAAUAUUAAUGAGUAGUAGAGGUGAAUAUUUCAAACCAGACACAAACAGAUGGAUACAAUAAUAGUGAGGUUUAGAAGUUAGCGAGUGUGUGACAAAAUACCCAAAACAACGCUUGGGAAGACAGAAAAACAAUAAGAAAUAAAAGUAGCGAGCAUUUCAAACUAGACACAAACAAACAAACAAAUAAAAAACAGCACCAAUAAGCAUUAAGAGUCAGCAGAAAUAUAAAAAGACACAAAAUGAAGUUAGAAAAGAACAGGAAACAGCCAUAACAAGUAGUGGUAGCAGUUAGCAAGGACACAGGCAGGAAAUACGAGACUUUGAGACAGACACAAGCAACGUAACACAGGGAACAAUAAUACAAAGUUGAAAUGAACCCAAAACAAAGGCAGGGAAGAUUAAAACAAACAUAAUAAGUAGCAGUAGUAGUUAAUGAGGACUCAGGCAUGUAAUUUGAGAUGUGAGGAACCGAACAGAAAACAAGAAGAAGUUUUACCGAGUGUAUUAUUAAGGCACGUUUCCCCGCACAAAUAAAGACACAAAACGAUAAAAACAACAAUUACAACAAGAAGUAUUAGUAGCGGGUGUAUCAAACAGACCAAAACAAACACAAAAACACAGGAAUCAACAGAUAAGACACAUUUUCCCACACAAACAGACACAAAACAAUAAAAACAAGAUGUAGGAGUUAGCCAAUGUAUCAAACGGACACAAACACACCUAGAAGACAAACAAAACCAUAACAAACAGCAACAGUUCGCUGACACACACUCCAUGCAUCACCGAAUGUGUCCGAACCUGAGAGAACCACAAUAUGCAGGAGUUAGCUAGAAAAUGGGGCCUCACACACACACACACACACACACACACACACACACAAGCAUAGACAGAGCUUCCAAUGCCUUACCAGUGCCCAGAAACCAGUAAUCAUCGCACACCCAGCAGAGCAUUGAAGCAGUAGUGGGUGCCAUGUUGUCUCUGUAACAAAGGGACACUGGGUUACAUACAAGCCACAAAGUGUAGAAAUAGGCACUUAAGCCAGAUAGAUUAGAGAAAACUUAAGCAGGGCUGUAACAAGGGACUUAACAACCCUUAACUAGCAAGACGAGAGAGCCAUAGACUAGACACAGUUGAGCAUACAAGCAAACAAAGCCACACAGCAAAAAAAGACAGAAUUUAAGCCAUCAACAGCCAUUAGAGAACCAAACACAGCAUAGAGAUAAUAAACCAAGACAGCAUGAAUUUAAAUGAGCCACAGAAACUUAGACAACGUAGGAUUAAAUGAAAGAUCAAGCCAGUAACAUGCAUAGAUUACACACAGGAAGACACACACAGCAUAGAGAGAGAGAGCCUUCAGCCACAGCAUAGAAUUAGCAGCCAGGACACACACAGCAUUGAAAGAGAUAAUUUUGACACACACAGCAUUGAAAAACUGAUAAAUUAGACACACAGCAUUGACACAGAUAAUUUUGACACACACAGCAUUGAAAGAGAGAGAAUUUCGACACACACAGCAUUGAAAGAGAUAGACUUUAGACACAGCACUAAAAGAGACAUAAUUUAAGGACACAGCAUUGAGAGAGACAGAAUCAAGCCACAAACAGACAUACAGACAGAUUCAAUUAGCCAUUAUAGAAAUAGCAAACAGACUGAAUGAAAACAGACAAGAUUAACCCAUAGACAGACAGACAGACAGACAGACAGACAGACAGUGCUAAGAGAGAUGAGUAAAAAAAGACAGACAGAUAGACAGACACCAGAAACAGCCAACCAUACACACACACACACACACACACACACACACAAUAUAUAACCUAAUGUUGCUAUAAUAUUUCUAGACAUAAAAAGAAAAGAAGAAGAAGAAGAACCAUUUGAUAAACAGCGUACACAGGGACAAGAUAGAAUAAUUAGCUAGGGAUUUCCAGAGAAGCAUAAUAGAGACAUAACAAGCUCAAGCACCACAGCAGUUAGUGGCCAUGUCUUAGAGAGCACCUGUCGAGCCAUUAAGCCGUUAGAUCGUUAGUAGGGAGAACACAUUAACAACAUCAGCUAGAUCGAUAAUUUCUUGAGAUUCUGUAAUGGUUUGUAAAGAUGAUUUCAAGUUGUGCCAUAGUGAGGUUUUUUGGUGUGGCUGGGGAAGACUGGCCUGGUGAGGUUGGGUUAGUAAGGCUGGGUUGGUGAGGUUGGGUCAGUAAGGUUGGGUUGGUGAGGUUCGGUCAGUAAGGUUGGGUCAGUGAGGUUGGGUUGGUGAGGUUGGGUCAGUGAGGUUAGGUUAGGUUGGGUCAGUGAGGUUAGGUUAGGUUGGGUCAGUGAGGUUGGGUUGGUGAGGUUGUGUUGGUGAGGUUGGGUUGGGUUGGGUUAGGUUGUGUUGGGUUGGGUUAGGUUGGGUUGCAAUGGGUUAGUUUGUGUUGUGUUGUGUUGUGUUGUGUUGGUGAGGUUUGGUUUAGCUUGGGUUUGGUUUGGCUUGGUUUGGUUUGGUUUGGUUUGGUUUGGGUUGAGUUGGGUUGGUUAGGUCUAAAUUAACUUAACCUAAUAUGGACCUUAACCUAACAAAACUAAUUUACUCAAACUUGACCAAUCAUAAACC